CGUAAGCUGUUUUGUCAGUCGGAUGUGAAAUCCCCGGGCUUAACCUGGGAACUGCAUUCGAUACUGCAUAACUAGAGUAUGGUAGAGGGAAGUGGAAUUUCCGGUGUAGCGGUGAAAUGCGUAGAUAUCGGAAGGAAUACCAGUGGCGAAGGCGACUUCCUGGGCCAAUACUGACGCUGAGGUGCGAAAGCGUGGGGAGCAAACA
This 205-nucleotide ribosomal RNA is filed under the name uncultured bacterium. RNAcentral's name for it is "partial 16S ribosomal RNA". It matches the Rfam family "Bacterial small subunit ribosomal RNA", at positions 570 to 774 of the family's 1533-position model. The record is from RNAcentral.